GUGCUAUCGCUCCAGCCCAUAUACUAAAAUUGGAACGAUACAGAGAAGAUUAGCAUGGCCCCUCGCAAGGAUGAAUAAUACAGUGAAAACAAUGCGAUAUAA
Molecule: small nuclear RNA, 102 nt
Filed under: Sorex araneus (European shrew)
Lineage: Eukaryota; Metazoa; Chordata; Mammalia; Eulipotyphla; Soricidae
Source: RNAcentral